GAUGAACGCUGGCGGCGUGCCUAAUACAUGCAAGUCGAGCGAACAGACGAGGAGCUUGCUCCUCUGACGUUAGCCGCGGGCGGGUGAGUAACACGUGUAUAACCUACCUAUAAGACUGGGAUAACUUCGGGAAACCGGAGCUAAUACCGGAUAAUAUAUUGAACCGCAUGGUUCAAUAGUGAAAGACGGCUUUGCUGUCACUUAUAGAUGGAUCUCGGCCGUAUUAGCUGGUUGGUAAGGUAACGGCUUACCAAGGCAACGAUGCGUAGCCGACCUGAGAGGGUGAUCGGCCACACGGGAACGGAGACACGGUCAAGACUCCUACGGGAGGCAGCAGUAGGGAAUCUUCCGCAAUGGGCGAAAGCCUGACGGAGCAACGCCGCGUGAGUGAUGAAGGCCUUCGGAGCGUAAAACCCUGUUAUUAGGUAAGAACAAAUGUGUAAGUAACUAUGCACGUAUUGACGGUACCUAAUAAGAAAGCCACGGCUAACUACGUG
Molecule: ribosomal RNA, 497 nt
Filed under: uncultured bacterium
Lineage: Bacteria
Description: partial 16S ribosomal RNA
Rfam family: Bacterial small subunit ribosomal RNA
Source: RNAcentral